UGCCUGUGUUGCUAUUCCUGCUCAGAUGAAAGAAAUUCAAAUAGUUAUUGAUUGGCGCUGAGGGGAGAGUGCGGGGAUCCGGUCUGGCUCCGUUACAGCUGCACCCAGCCCCUGCCCGGCCUGCUUCCAGCCUUGGGCCCUCAGGCCCUGCUCUGGCUCCUGCCUCCAGCCUGUUCCCAGCCCCUGCCUGGGCACCUACCCUAGUCUUUGUCUUGGGGCAGCCAAAGGAGCACAUUUUAACAUGUGCUCAGUUAAAAACACUUCCUGACAUACGCUUUCAUUUAGAGCAGUCAUCAGGAGCAGUUCCAGCCGAGGAGAUACAAGCAGAAGUUGCUGGACAUGAGCCCGGACCCCAGCCUCAGCCCCAGGCCAGGUGCUGCGAGGGCAAAAAAAAAAGCCCAGAGUCUGGCUGAGGUGCUGAGCUCACUGCUGACCCCACUCCCGAGGAGAUGUGCAGGAAUCAGCAGGAAGGGUCAUCG
This 479-nucleotide long non-coding RNA is filed under the name Equus caballus (horse). Its description in RNAcentral is "lncRNA (ENSECAG00000057306.1)". The record is from RNAcentral. Lineage: Eukaryota; Metazoa; Chordata; Mammalia; Perissodactyla; Equidae.